Molecule: microRNA precursor, 64 nt
Filed under: Gekko japonicus
Lineage: Eukaryota; Metazoa; Chordata; Lepidosauria; Squamata; Gekkonidae
Description: Gja-Mir-15-P2b_pre stem-loop
Rfam family: mir-16 microRNA precursor family
About the family: The hairpin precursors (represented here) are predicted based on base pairing and cross-species conservation -- their extents are not known. In this case the mature sequence is excised from the 5' arm of the hairpin.
Source: RNAcentral
UAGCAGCACGUAAAUAUUGGUGUAGUAAAGAUAAUCUUAACACCAAUAUUAUUGUGCUGCUUAA